GAUGAACGCUGGCGGCGUGCCUAAUACAUGCAAGUAGAACGCUGAAGGAGGAGCUUGCUCUUCUGGAUGAGUUGCGAACGGGUGAGUAACGCGUAGGUAACCUGCCUGGUAGCGGGGGAUAACUAUUGGAAACGAUAGCUAAUACCGCAUGACAACAGUUAUUGCAUGAUAACUGUUUAAAAGGGGCAACUGCUCCACUACCAGAUGGACCUGCGUUGUAUUAGCUAGUUGGUGAGGUAACGGCUCACCAAGGCGACGAUACAUAGCCGACCUGGGAGGGUGGUCGGCCACACUGGGACUGAGACACGGCCCAGACUCCUACGGGAGGCAGCAGGAGGGAAUCAUCGGCAAUGGACGGAAGUCUGACCGAGCAACGCCGCGUGAGUGAAGGAGGUUUUCGGAUCGUAAAGCUCUGUUGUAAGAGAAGAACGAGUGUGAGAGUGGAAAGUUCACACUGUGACGGUAUCUUACCAGAAAGGGACGGCUAACUACGUG
Molecule: ribosomal RNA, 495 nt
Filed under: uncultured bacterium
Lineage: Bacteria
Description: partial 16S ribosomal RNA
Rfam family: Bacterial small subunit ribosomal RNA
Source: RNAcentral